RNAcentral lists this non-coding RNA (66 nucleotides) under Jatrophihabitans endophyticus. Lineage: Bacteria; Bacillati; Actinomycetota; Actinomycetes; Jatrophihabitantales; Jatrophihabitantaceae. The record is from RNAcentral.
GACGGCGCUCGUGACGAGCGAUCCGGACGAGGCACGCCGUACCCGGCCAGGACAAGACGGUGUCGA